This 1467-nucleotide ribosomal RNA is filed under the name uncultured bacterium. RNAcentral's name for it is "bacterial SSU rRNA". It matches the Rfam family "Bacterial small subunit ribosomal RNA". The record is from RNAcentral.
GUUGAAUGCUGGCGGCAGGCCUAAUACAUGCAAGUCGAACGAGAUUUGUUUUGAGUUUACUUGAAACAUUGAAAGUGGCGGACGAGCGAGUAACACGUACGGAUCUGCCCCGAACUCAGGGAUAACGAGCCGAAAGGUUCGCUAAUACCGGAUAGUCCCGAAAGGGUAAAGAUUUUUCGGUUCGGGAGGAUCGUGCGGCCUAUCAGCUUGUUGGUAAGGUAAUGGCUUACCAAGGCUAUGACGGGUACCUGGCGUGAGAGCAUGACCAGGCGCGAUGGGACCGAGACACGGCCCAUACUCCUACGGGAGGCAGCAGUAGGGAAUCUUCCGCAAUGGACGAAAGUCUGACGGAGCCAUGCCGCGUGAAGGAUGAAGGCCCAUGGGUUGUAAACUUCUUUUAUACGGGAAGAAAAUUUGACGGUACCGUAUGAAUAAGGACCGACUAAUUACGUGCCAGCAGUCGCGGUAAUACGUAAGGUUCAAGCAUUAACCGGAAUUAUUGGGCGUAAAGCGUCCGCAGGCGGUGGUUCAAGUCUGUUAUUAAAUAUCGGAGCUCAACUUCGAUGCUGUAAUGGAAACUGGAUCACUAGAGAAAUGGAGAGGUAUGCGGAAUUCUGCAAGUAGGGGUAAAAUCCGUAGAUAUGCAGAGGAACACCAAAAGCGAAGGCAGCAUACUGGACAUUUUCUGACGCUCAUGGACGAAAGCGUGGGGAGCGAAAGGGAUUAGAUACCCCUGUAGUCCACGCCGUAAACGAUGUGUGCUCGGUGUGAGGAUCCUUGACCUGAUCCUCGUGCCUAAGAUAACUCGAUAAGCACACCGCCUGUGUAGUACGAUCGCAAGAUUAAAACACAAAGGAAUAGACGGGGACCCACACAAGCGGUGGAACGCGGGGUUUAAUUCGUCAGUAAGCGUGUAACCUUACCCAGACUUGACAUCCUGAUCAUAUCUUUUAGAAAUAAUUGAGUCAGUUCGGCUGGAUCAGUGACAGGUGCUGCAUGGUUGUCGUCAGCUCGUGCCUUGAGGUGUACGGUUAAGUCCGCGAACGAGCGCAACCCUCGUCCUGUGUUGUAUUUUCACGGGAGACUGCCCAGCAGAGUGGUUAUUAAUGUUUUUAGAAUUUCUAAGAAUUUAGUAUCUACUCUGCUGGGAGGAAGGCGAGGAUGACGUCAAAUCUGCAUGGCCCUUAUGUCUGGGGCUACACCCACGUUACAAUGGCUGGUACAAAGCGAAGCGAAGGGGUGACCUGGAGCAAAUCGCAUCAAAACCAGUCUUAGUUCGGAUUGGAGUCUGCAACUCGACUCCAUGAAGCUGGAAUCGCUAGUAAACGUAUAUCAGUCACGGUACGUUGAAUAUGUUCCUGGGUCUUGUACUCACCGCCCGUCAAGGCAUGGAAGUUAGGGGCGCCCAAAGUCUGCUUAAAGGGUUGUGGCCUAAGGUGAAUCUGAUAUCUGGGCUUAAGUCGUAAC